UGCCAGACUCCUACGGGAGGCAGCAGUGGGGAAUAUUGGGCAAUGGGCGCAAGCCUGACCCAGCAACGCCGCGUGAAGGAAGAAGGCUUUCGGGUUGUAAACUUCUUUUAAGAGGGAAGAGUAGAAGACGGUACCUCUUGAAUAAGCCACGGCUAACUACGUGCCAGCAGCCGCGGUAAUACGUAGGUGGCAAGCGUUGUCCGGAUUUACUGGGUGUAAAGGGCGUGUAGCCGGGUUGACAAGUCAGAUGUGAAAUCCUGCGGCUUAACCGCAGAACUGCAUUUGAAACUGUUGAUCUUGAGUACUGGAGAGGCAGACGGAAUUCCUAGUGUAGCGGUGAAAUGCGUAGAUAUUAGGAGGAACACCAGUGGCGAAGGCGGCUUGCUGGACCGUGACUGACGUUGAGGCUCGAGAGCGUGGGGAGCAAACAGGAUUAGAUACCCGUGUA
RNAcentral lists this ribosomal RNA (448 nucleotides) under uncultured bacterium. Its description in RNAcentral is "partial 16S ribosomal RNA". It matches the Rfam family "Bacterial small subunit ribosomal RNA", at positions 329 to 792 of the family's 1533-position model. The record is from RNAcentral.